RNAcentral lists this ribosomal RNA (645 nucleotides) under Triticum aestivum (bread wheat). RNAcentral describes it as "partial small subunit ribosomal RNA". The record is from RNAcentral. Lineage: Eukaryota; Viridiplantae; Streptophyta; Magnoliopsida; Poales; Poaceae.
AUGCAAGCUUUCCAUUAGUUCAACCACAUGGCUGGUUAGAAUUUUGGGGACUUAAACUCUGCGGUCGUCGCGCUCAUCACCAAAAAAGACGGAGCUGAUUGCGUUAGUGACUUCAGGCCGAUCAGCCUAAUCCAGUCCAUAGCCAAACUGAUCUCCAAGGUGCUCUCCAUCCGCCUCGCUACGGUAGUGCAAUCCAUCGUCUCGCCAGCCCAGACGGCUUUCCUGAAGACUAGAUGCCUGCAUGAAAGCUUCGUCUACGUCCAAAACUGCGUCAAGGGCCUUCACCGCCGUAAGACACCGGUCGUACUCCUCAAGCUUGGCAUAUCUAGAGCUUUCAACAAUGUAUCCUGGGAGUACCUUCUAGAGCUGUUGAUGAUGCUAGGGUUUAGCGCUCGAUGGAGGGACUGGAUCUCGCUUCUGCUCACCACCUCCUCCUCGGCCUUCCUGCUAAACGGAUCACCUCGCACGAAGAUAGUGCAUCACCGAGGGCUGCGCCAGGGUGACCCGCUGUCCCCCUCCUCUUCAUCAUUGCAAUUGAUCCAAUCCACCGCCUGCUUCAAGCCUCCGAUGAUGCGCUCAAGAUCAUGCCAGUGCCAAGAAGAGAGGUCAAGUUCAGGGUUAGCUUAUACACCGACGAUGCAAUAA